Molecule: ribosomal RNA, 425 nt
Filed under: uncultured bacterium
Lineage: Bacteria
Description: partial 16S ribosomal RNA
Rfam family: Bacterial small subunit ribosomal RNA
Source: RNAcentral
GUGGGGAAUAUUGGACAAUGGGCGCAAGCCUGAUCCAGCCAUGCCGCGUGAGUGAUGAAGGCCUUAGGGUUGUAAAGCUCUUUUGUCCGGGAAGAUAAUGACUGUACCGGAAGAAUAAGCCCCGGCUAACUUCGUGCCAGCAGCCGCGGUAAUACGAAGGGGGCUAGCGUUGCUCGGAAUCACUGGGCGUAAAGGGCGCGGAGGCGGACUCUUAAGUAGGGGGUGAAAGCCCAGGGCUCAACCCUGGAAUAGCCUUCGAUAAUGAGAGUCUUGAGUGCGGAAGAGGUUGGUGGAAUUGCGAGUGUAGAGGUGAAAUUCGUAGAUAUUCGCAAGAACACCAGUGGCGAAGGCGGCCAACUGGUCCGAUACUGACGCUGAGGCGCGAAAGCGUGGGGAGCAAACAGGAUUAGAUACCCGAGUAGUCC